CCGCUCCCCUUUGCAGCACAUAUACUAAAAUUACAACGAUAUCAGAGAAGAUUAGCAUACCCCCCUCACAAGGAUGACACACAAAUUCCUGAAGCCUUCCAUAUUUUU
Molecule: small nuclear RNA, 108 nt
Filed under: Camelus dromedarius (Arabian camel)
Lineage: Eukaryota; Metazoa; Chordata; Mammalia; Artiodactyla; Camelidae
Source: RNAcentral